Molecule: transfer RNA, 74 nt
Filed under: bacterium
Lineage: Bacteria
Description: tRNA-Lys
Rfam family: tRNA
About the family: Transfer RNA (tRNA) molecules are approximately 80 nucleotides in length. Their secondary structure includes four short double-helical elements and three loops (D, anti-codon, and T loops).
Source: RNAcentral
GCCCUUAUAGCUCAAUUUGGUAGAGCAGCUCCCUUUUAAGGAGUUGGUUGGAGGUUCAAAUCCUCCCAGGGGCA